RNAcentral lists this ribosomal RNA (105 nucleotides) under Microtus ochrogaster (prairie vole). The record is from RNAcentral. Lineage: Eukaryota; Metazoa; Chordata; Mammalia; Rodentia; Cricetidae.
UUCUACAACCACACCACCUGGAGCGUGCCCAGUCUCAUCUGAUUCCAGGAGCUAACCUUGGAUGGGACUAGCUAGUACUCACCUGGGAGAAAAAGCCAGUAAAAA